This 464-nucleotide ribosomal RNA is filed under the name soil bacterium 6V-13. RNAcentral's name for it is "bacterial SSU rRNA". It matches the Rfam family "Bacterial small subunit ribosomal RNA", at positions 23 to 483 of the family's 1533-position model. The record is from RNAcentral.
CUCAGAUUGAACGCUGGCGGCAUGCCUUACACAUGCAAGUCGAACGGCAGCACGGGCUUCGGCCUGGUGGCGAGUGGCGAACGGGUGAGUAAUACAUCGGAACGUGCCCUGUUGUGGGGGAUAACCAGUCGAAAGAUUGGCUAAUACCGCAUACGACCUGAGGGUGAAAGCGGGGGACCGCAAGGCCUCGCGCAGCAGGAGCGGCCGAUGUCUGAUUAGCUAGUUGGUGGGGUAAAGGCCCACCAAGGCGACGAUCAGUAGCUGGUCUGAGAGGACGAUCAGCCACACUGGGACUGAGACACGGCCCAGACUCCUACGGGAGGCAGCAGUGGGGAAUUUUGGACAAUGGGGGCAACCCUGAUCCAGCAAUGCCGCGUGUGUGAAGAAGGCCUUCGGGUUGUAAAGCACUUUUGUCCGGAAAGAAAACCUCUGCCCUAAUACGGCGGGGGGAUGACGUACCGAAG